Molecule: non-coding RNA, 350 nt
Organism: Lupinus albus (white lupine)
Lineage: Eukaryota; Viridiplantae; Streptophyta; Magnoliopsida; Fabales; Fabaceae
Source: the annotation of a GenBank genome assembly
CUGUUGUCACAUGAGUUAUUCCUAUAUAUCUAUCCUAACAUAUACUCAAUAUUAACAGAUACAAAUUCUAAGUGGGGUUGAUAUCUGUAAACUCUCAUAAUAUUCUUUUGGUGAGGUGCAGUUGCCUAAAAUGUAUUUUACACGAAGAUGUCACUGAAUAUAUACCUGAAUGUUCUCAAGCAUCAUAUUCAACACCAGUAUCAACCUUUCUAUGUCAUGUCUGUCCAUGAGAACAGUGGAAUAUUGAAGAGGCCUCGUUAAUGGAACGAUCACCCGGCAAAAUAGCACUGCAGAAAAAAAAAUAUAUAUAUAUAAUUAUGUAUAGCAGAUCAACAUUUAACAAGGCUUAA